GGCAAUGAGAGCAGCAGCUGUGAAAACAGUCAUUCAAUGAUGUCAGAGCAGCAUAGGGACUCUGGGCUGCAAGGCUACUUUGAAGUAUUUAACAGGAGUGCUGAGCUGUGACUCACACGCAAAUAAGUGAAAUGCCAACAUGACGAGUGUGCUGGUCCAGAGGGGUAAAAAAUAGGCUGGGAGAGAAAUCGAGGGGGAGUGAAGGAAACUAUUUCCAGCAUAUGUAGCCCCACCCACAAGCCCUCCUUCACACCAGAUGACCUGGGCACGACUCGAACCAGCUGGCUUCCGAUCAAGGUUGUCAGAGAGCGCAGAGAAACAAUGAGGAUGAUUCCGCACCGAGGAGUUAUCGGCCAGCUCAAUGCGUGCGGAUUUUCCUCUUCAACUGUGAGUAUUUUCACAUGCUAAUGGGACUUUCAGUUGAACUGCCGGUUACAAACACUAUGCUCAUCAUAAUAAUGGGCCACA
Long non-coding RNA from Hippocampus comes (tiger tail seahorse), 468 nucleotides. RefSeq lists it as uncharacterized. NCBI's taxonomy places the organism in Eukaryota, Metazoa, Chordata, Actinopteri, Syngnathiformes, Syngnathidae. The record is from RefSeq and is a predicted model, not a curated record. The transcript is spliced from 3 exons.